UAGGUAUACCGCGACAUUAGCUUGCGGCCGGUUCGCGCUGCCAUCUUGCCAGUAGCAAACGAUUUGUGACAGGCUACGCUACAGAACUCGGAUUUAUAAUUAUUGGUGACAAAUAAAUAUUUAAUAGAUAUGCCUCCACGACGGGCUCAGUGGACCCAUGAAAACUUGCGUUCUGCUAUGGCAGCUGUAGAACGAGGGCUGUUGACGCAGUGUAGUGUAGCAGACCAAUAUAACAUUCCUAGAUGUACGCUGAG
This 254-nucleotide unclassified non-coding RNA is filed under the name Melitaea cinxia (Glanville fritillary). RNAcentral describes it as "misc RNA ENSMCXG00005008071.1". The record is from RNAcentral. Lineage: Eukaryota; Metazoa; Arthropoda; Insecta; Lepidoptera; Nymphalidae.